Molecule: ribosomal RNA, 373 nt
Filed under: uncultured organism
Description: partial 16S ribosomal RNA
Rfam family: Bacterial small subunit ribosomal RNA
Source: RNAcentral
GUAGGUGGCAAGCGUUGUCCGGAAUUAUUGGGCGUAAAGCGCGCGCAGGCGGUUCUUUAAGUCUGAUGUGAAAGCCCACGGCUCAACCGUGGAGGGUCAUUGGAAACUGGAGAACUUGAGUACAGAAGAGGAAAGCGGAAUUCCACGUGUAGCGGUGAAAUGCGUAGAGAUGUGGAGGAACACCAGUGGCGAGGGCGGCUUUCUGGUCUGUAACUGACGCUGAGGCGCGAAAGCGUGGGGAGCAAACAGGGAUUAGAUACCCUGGUAGUCCACGCCGUAAACGAUGAGUGCUAAGUGUUAGGGGGGUUUCCGCCCCCUUAGUGCUGCAGCUAACGCAUUAAGCACUCCGCCUGGGGAUACGGCCGCAAGGCUG